RNAcentral lists this ribosomal RNA (206 nucleotides) under uncultured bacterium. Its description in RNAcentral is "partial 16S ribosomal RNA". It matches the Rfam family "Bacterial small subunit ribosomal RNA", at positions 568 to 774 of the family's 1533-position model. The record is from RNAcentral.
UGCGUAGGUGGCGAGGUAAGUCGGAUGUGAAAGCUCGGAGCUCAACUCCGAAAUGGCAUUGGAAACUACCUUGCUUGAGGGUUGGAGGGGGGACUGGAAUUCUCGGUGUAGCAGUGAAAUGCAUAGAUAUCGAGAGGAACACCAGUGGCGAAGGCGAGUCCCUGGACAACUCCUGACACUGAGGCACGAAAGCUAGGGAGCAAACA